UGAGGAAUAUUGAGCAAUGGGCGCAAGCCUGACUCAGCAACGCCGCGUGGAUGAAGAAGGCCUUCGGGUUGUAAAAUCCUUUUCUGGGGGAAGAUAAUGACGGUACCCCAGGAAUAAGUUCCGGCUAACUACGUGCCAGCAGCCGCGGUAAAACGUAGGGGACGAGCGUUAUCCGGAUUUACUGGGCGUAAAGCGCAUGUAGGUGGCUUGAAAAGUUGGACGUGAAAGCUCCCGGCUUAACUGGGAGAGGUCGUUCAAAAACUGGCAAGCUUGAGGUUGGAAGAGGAGAGCGGAAUUCCCGGUGUAGUGGUGGAAUGCGUAGAUAUCGGGAGGAACACCAGUGGCGAAAGCGGCUCUCUGGUUCAAUACUGACACUGAGAUGCGAAAGCGUGGGGAGCGAACGGGAUUAGAUACCCCGGUAGUCCACGCUGUAAACGAUGGAUACUAGGUGUAGGCGGUCAUUAACCCCGUCUGUGCCGAAGCCAACGCGUUAAGUAUCCCGCCUGGGGACUACGGCCGCAA
RNAcentral lists this ribosomal RNA (522 nucleotides) under uncultured Chloroflexota bacterium. Its description in RNAcentral is "bacterial SSU rRNA". It matches the Rfam family "Bacterial small subunit ribosomal RNA", at positions 355 to 891 of the family's 1533-position model. Lineage: Bacteria; Bacillati; Chloroflexota. The record is from RNAcentral.